Molecule: transfer RNA, 88 nt
Filed under: Prevotella sp.
Lineage: Bacteria; Pseudomonadati; Bacteroidota; Bacteroidia; Bacteroidales; Prevotellaceae
Description: tRNA-Ser
Rfam family: tRNA
About the family: Transfer RNA (tRNA) molecules are approximately 80 nucleotides in length. Their secondary structure includes four short double-helical elements and three loops (D, anti-codon, and T loops). Further hydrogen bonds mediate the characteristic L-shaped molecular structure. tRNAs have two regions of fundamental functional importance: the anti-codon, which is responsible for specific mRNA codon recognition, and the 3' end, to which the tRNAs corresponding amino acid is attached (by aminoacyl-tRNA synthetases). tRNAs cope with the degeneracy of the genetic code in two manners: having more than one tRNA (with a specific anti-codon) for a particular amino acid; and 'wobble' base-pairing, i.e. permitting non-standard base-pairing at the 3rd anti-codon position.
Source: RNAcentral
GGAAAGGUGCUCGAGUGGUUGAAGAGGCACGCCUGGAAAGCGUGUAGUCGUCAAAAGCGAUUCGAGGGUUCGAAUCCCUUCCUUUCCG